AACGAACGCUGGCGGCAUGCCUAACACAUGCCAGUCGAACGAGACCUUCGGGUCUAGUGGCGCACGGGUGCGUAACGCGUGGGAACCUGCCCUUAGGUUCGGAAUAACUCCCCGAAAGGGGUGCUAAUACCGGAUAAUGUCUUCGGACCAAAGAUUUAUCGCCUUUGGAUGGGCCCGCGUUGGAUUAGCUAGUUGGUAGGGUAAAAGCCUACCAAGGCGACGAUCCAUAGCUGGUCUGAGAGGAUGAUCAGCCACACUGGGACUGCGACACGGCCCAGACUCCUACGGGAGGCAGCAGUGGGGAAUAUUGGACAAUGGGCGAAAGCCUGAUACAGCAAUGCCGCGCGAGUGAUGAAGGCCUUAGGGUUGUAAAGCUCUUUUACCCGGGACGAUAAUGACAGUACCGGGAGAAUAAGCUCCGGCUAACUCCGUG
Molecule: ribosomal RNA, 433 nt
Filed under: uncultured bacterium
Lineage: Bacteria
Description: partial 16S ribosomal RNA
Rfam family: Bacterial small subunit ribosomal RNA
Source: RNAcentral